This 253-nucleotide ribosomal RNA is filed under the name uncultured bacterium. RNAcentral's name for it is "partial 16S ribosomal RNA". It matches the Rfam family "Bacterial small subunit ribosomal RNA", at positions 524 to 776 of the family's 1533-position model. The record is from RNAcentral.
UACGAAGGGGGCUAGCGUUGCUCGGAAUCACUGGGCUUAAAGGGUGCGUAGGCGGCUUGUUAAGUAGGGUGUGAAAUCCCCCGGCUCAACCGGGGAAUUGCGCCCUAAACUGGCGAGCUGGAGUGAGAUAGGGGUGUGUGGAACUUCCGGUGGAGCGGUGAAAUGUGUUGAUAUCGGAAGGAACGCCAGUGGCGAAAGCGACACACUGGGUCUCAACUGACGCUGAGGCACGAAAGCCAGGGGAGCAAACGGG